Molecule: ribosomal RNA, 432 nt
Filed under: uncultured bacterium
Lineage: Bacteria
Description: partial 16S ribosomal RNA
Rfam family: Bacterial small subunit ribosomal RNA
Source: RNAcentral
AACGAACGCUGGCGGCAUGCCUAACACAUGCAAGUCGAACGAGACCUUCGGGUCUAGUGGCGCACGGGUGCGUAACGCGUGGGAACCUGCCCUUAGGUUCGGAAUAACUCCCCGAAAGGGGUGCUAAUACCGGAUAAUGUCUUCGGACCAAAGAUUUAUCGCCUUUGGAUGGGCCCGCGUUGGAUUAGCUAGUUGGUAGGGUAAAAGCCUACCAAGGCGACGAUCCAUAGCUGGUCUGAGAGGAUGAUCAGCCACACUGGGGCUGAGACACGGCCCAGACUCCUACGGGAGGCAGCAGUGGGGAAUAUUGGACAAUGGGCGAAAGCCUGAUCCAGCAAUGCCGCGUGAGUGAUGAAGGCCUUAGGGUUGUAAAGCUCUUUUACCCGGGAUGAUAAUGACAGUACCGGGAGAAUAAGCUCCGGCUAACUCCGU